RNAcentral lists this ribosomal RNA (492 nucleotides) under uncultured bacterium. Its description in RNAcentral is "partial 16S ribosomal RNA". It matches the Rfam family "Bacterial small subunit ribosomal RNA", at positions 29 to 507 of the family's 1533-position model. The record is from RNAcentral.
AGUGAACGCUGGCGGUAGGCCUAACACAUGCAAGUCGAACGGCAGCACAGUAAGAGCUUGCUCUUACGGGUGGCGAGUGGCGGACGGGUGAGGAAUACAUCGGAAUCUACUUUUUCGUGGGGGAUAACGUAGGGAAACUUACGCUAAUACCGCAUUCGACCUACGGGUGAAAGCAGGGGAUCUUCGGACCUUGCGCGAUUGAAUGAGCCGAUGUAGGAUUAGCUAGUUGGCGGGGUAAAGGCCCACCAAGGCGACGAUCCGUAGCUGGUCUGAGAGGAUGAUCAGCCACACUGGAACUGAGAAACGGUCCAGACUCCUACGGGAGGAAGCAGUGGGGAAUAUUGGACAAUGGGCGCAAGCCUGAUCCAGCCAUACCGCGUGGGUGAAGAAGGCCUUCGGGUUGUAAAGCCCUUUUGUUGGGAAAGAAAAGCAGCAGGUUAAUACCCCGCUGUUCUGACGGUACCCAAAGAAUAAGCACCGGCUAACUUCGUG